RNAcentral lists this ribosomal RNA (253 nucleotides) under uncultured bacterium. RNAcentral's name for it is "partial 16S ribosomal RNA". It matches the Rfam family "Bacterial small subunit ribosomal RNA", at positions 524 to 776 of the family's 1533-position model. The record is from RNAcentral.
UACGUAGGGGGCUAGCGUUGUCCGGAAUCCUUGGGCGUAAAGCGCGUGUAGGCGGUCCGGUAAGUCCGCUGUGAAAGUCGGGGGCUCAACCCUCGAAUGCCGGUGGAUACUGUCGGGCUAGAGUGCGGAAGAGGCGAGUGGAAUUCCUGGUGUAGCGGUGAAAUGCGCAGAUAUCAGGAGGAACACCAAUUGCGAAGGCAGCUCGCUGGGACGUUACUGACGCUGAGACGCGAAAGCGUGGGGAGCAAACAGG